AUGGCUAUAUCACCAGCCCCAGCUCCAAGCCCCUCAUUGCACAGAAAAAAGCACCUGCCCGCCAUGGGGGAAUGCAAGAGCUCCCGGCGCACCUCGCGCCCUCUCCUCCUCCCCGCCAUUGUUGUCGUGCUCGCAUUCUUCGUCGCGCAAUGCGGAGCGAGGGUGCUGACGGUGGACGAGCUGCUGGACCAGUACUCCGAGUCCGACCACCACUCCGCCUCUCCGCCUCCGGGCUCCCCCGGCUGCGCCCCGGAGCCGGAAGCGUCGCCGCCGCCCGUCAUCCCGGCGCCCUCCUUCGCCUAUCUCUCGCCCCCGCCGCCCAUGCAGUUCUACUCCCCUCCGCCCCCCGAGGUCGUGCCCAGCCCGCCUGAGAUCACGCCGAGCCCGCCGGAGGUCGUGCCUAGCCCGCCUGAGAUCGCGCCACUGCCGCCGGUCGUUGCGCCCAGCCCGCCUGAGAUCGCGCCACUGCCGCCAGUCGUCGCGCCCAGCCCNNNNNNNNNNNNNCCGAGUCCACCGGAGGUUGCGCCCAGUCCACCGGAGGUCGCACCGCUCCCGGGGCCACCAGAGGUCACGCCUAGCCCGCCGGAGGUCGCGCCGUUCCCAGGGCCACCAGAGGUCACACCCAGCCCACCGGACGUGACGCCAUUCCCGGGGCCACCGGAGGUCGAGCCCAGCCCGCCGGACGUGACGCCGUCCCCGGGGCCACCGGAGGUCGAGCCCAGCCCGCCGGACGUGACGCCGUCCCCGGGGCCACCGGAGGUGACUCCCAGCCCACCGGAGGUCACACCGUUCCCGGGGACACCGUACGUGGCGCCCAGCCCACCGGAGGUGACGCCGUUCCCGAGCCCGCCGGAGGUGACCCCCAGCCCGCCAGACUACGCGCCGUACCCGCCGCCGGAGUCCUCGCCGGGGUCGGGGUCGUCCCCGAGCCCGCCGGGGGGCAGCUUCCAGCCACCGGUGGUGCUCCCGCCGACGACCGGGCCGCCGUCGCCGUCGGCGGGGCACGGCGAGUGGUGCGUGGCGAAGCCGUCGGUGCCGGCGGCGAUCGUGCAGCAGGCCAUGGACUACGCGUGCGCUUCGGGCGCCGACUGCGAGUCCCUCCAGGCCGACGGCGCCUGCUUCAAGCCGGACACCAUGACCUCCCACGCCUCCUACGCCUUCAACAGCUACUGGCAGCGCGCCAAGUCCACCGGCGCCACCUGCGACUUCGGCGGCACCGCCAUGCUCAUCACCAAGGACCCCAGCUAUGAUAACUGCCAUUACAGUGUGAUGUGA
This 1275-nucleotide ribosomal RNA is filed under the name Triticum aestivum (bread wheat). RNAcentral describes it as "partial small subunit ribosomal RNA". Lineage: Eukaryota; Viridiplantae; Streptophyta; Magnoliopsida; Poales; Poaceae. The record is from RNAcentral.